Molecule: long non-coding RNA, 1634 nt
Organism: Symsagittifera roscoffensis
Lineage: Eukaryota; Metazoa; Xenacoelomorpha; Acoela; Convolutidae
Exons: 2
Source: RefSeq, a predicted model, not a curated record
UCUACAUUACACUCUCAAAUACGUGCAUAAAAUCAUCAUCUAGCUGAGUAGCGAUGUUUUUUGUUUGGAUUAUAUUUUUUCGGCUAUAAAAAGUAAAAUCGGACUUGUUUUCUUUUUCUAAUCAUUCUUAAAUUGUUCCGUGUUUGAAAGAAAAAUUUGUUCACGUAUUUGAUUAAAAGCUAACAGCAGUCUUGCUAUAUUUGGUAAAUUUUUUUCAAUGGUAAUUGCUCGUGAUUGUAUUCAAUGGUAAGUCGUGAUCGCUUUUUUACCGCCGAAUAUUUGUUAAAAAGUCUCCAAGAGGUGCUUUUCUUUGUUCAACUACACUACUAGCUCUCAAUCAAAAUGAAAGAAACUUCUCUCUAGAUAUCAAACCACAAUAAUAGAUACCUCACCAUUAGCUCACUUGUGAGUCUCAUUAUACUUGACAAAGUUUUUAUCACGAACGUGGUAGAGUUACUACAACAUUCUCUAACAUUGGUAGUGCUCAUUCUUUAGUCGACAAAGAGCGAUGAAUUGGCCAUGUUACUCCAUUUCGGCGACAACGUCAUUUUUUAUACCAACUUUGUUAUUAACGAUUUGUUUAUAAACUAGCUUUAAAAAGUGAUCAACGAGUAUCCGGAAAUGUUGCCACGCUUGAAUCGUAGCCAGACCUCGGCAGCUUUAUUUUUCAGCAAUGCCGAAAUGGCAAACGAUCAGCAACAACCCGAACUUAUCUUAUACUCAAAAAAAUACAGCAACUUGUAUUUGAAUAAAAAAAGUGGUAAGAAUUCCAAAAAUAGCAUUCGCCGAAGAUCUCCCGAAUGGGCAGGCGAGGAAGGGGAGCUGGAUAAGCGGUACGGGCGGCGGACUCCAGCUGAAUUUGGUCAUGUGGUAAAAUUGACCAAUGGGAAGCCGACUUCGAAACAGAGCGUUAACAGAAGAUCCGGUCGCUAUGGCAGCAGCGAACGAAUCAACUCUGCCAACGUGCAAAAAUCAGGCUGUGCUUUAAACUGGUGCACUAAUUACCCUUUCUCAUCUCUGCAAGAUAUGCAUUCCCAGUCUGUAGCCAAACAGCAGUCGAACCUAGGUUUGAACCAGCGACCUCUAAGCCAACGCUCACAUUUGAGCAGCGGACGUCGGAACCUUCCUAAAAAACUAAGUGCAGCGUCAUCUAUUGUGUCAAGUGCGUGUCUCCUUACGCCACAGUCGCUAGAAGAACACAAGCAAAUUAUGGAAGCUUUAGACGAACAGUUUGUGAGGGAUGAACAAAUGAUUAUUCAACAGGCUAGCAGUCAGCAACAGUGCACUGGAGGUCAACGGGGUGGGUCUUCAGGACGGUUCUACCCGGAAACUCCAAGGAGCGAAUUGUCCUUGAAAAAAAUCCUAGUGAUGAAAUGGCUUCAAGCUGUAGAACAGGCUCGAAGCUCAAACUCAUUAGCUUCAGUGUCAACUGGAUACUAGAAGAAAUCUCAUAAAAACUACUUGAAAUGUCAAGUUGCUCUAGACUUGCAAAAUCAAUAAAGAUCUCGAAAUUUUCUCAAAUACAAAAUCAAAUUAACAAAAAGCAAGAGGCCAAAAUAUGUCAACAUAAACAAGAUAUUUUAGAGAAAUUAUUAUUUAUUUUUUUGUGCAGUAAUUCAAUGUGCCAAAUAUUG